This 506-nucleotide ribosomal RNA is filed under the name Odontosyllis phosphorea. Its description in RNAcentral is "partial large subunit ribosomal RNA". It matches the Rfam family "Bacterial large subunit ribosomal RNA", at positions 1797 to 2608 of the family's 2925-position model. Lineage: Eukaryota; Metazoa; Annelida; Polychaeta; Phyllodocida; Syllidae. The record is from RNAcentral.
UGACUGUUUAUCAAAAACAUAGCCUCCCGAAAAAUAAUGUGAGGUUAAUUCUGCCCAGUGAAAAUUUAACGGCCGCGGUAUCCUGACCGUGCAAAGGUAGCAUAAUCAUUUGCCUCUUAAUUAGAGGCUAGUAUGAAUGAAUAAACAUUUUUAAUCUGUCUCAUUGUAAGAAAUAAAAUUUUACCUUCAGGUGAAGAGGCCUGUAUUCACAAAAAAGACAAGAAGACCCUAUCAAGCUUUAUUUUUAAAUAUUUUUUUAAUAUUAAGAAAUUUGGUUGGGGCAACAAAAAAUUACAAAAAACAUUUUUCUUACAAAGGAUAAUAACCCUAAUAAAUUAACUUAAUUUUAUAUUAAAGAAAGCUACUGUAGGGAUAACAGGCUAAUACUUUUCAAGAGUCCUUAUCAACAAAAGUGAUUGGCACCUCGAUGUUGGCUUAGGAGACCUCACUUAUGCAGAAGUAAGUUAAGGUGGUUUGUUCAACCAAUAAUUUCCUACAUGAGCUGA